RNAcentral lists this ribosomal RNA (497 nucleotides) under uncultured bacterium. RNAcentral describes it as "partial 16S ribosomal RNA". It matches the Rfam family "Bacterial small subunit ribosomal RNA", at positions 28 to 507 of the family's 1533-position model. The record is from RNAcentral.
GGUGAACGCUGGCGGCGUGCCUAAUACAUGCAAGUCGAGCGAACAGACGAGGAGCUUGCUCCUCUGACGUUAGCGGCGGACGGGUGAGUAACACGUGGAUAACCUACCUAUAAGACUGGGAUAACUUCGGGAAACCGGAGCUAAUACCGGAUAAUAUAUUGAACCGCAUGGUUCAAUAGUGAAAGACGGUUUUGCUGUCACUCAUAGAUGGAUCCGCGCCGCAUUAGCUAGUUGGUAAGGUAACGGCUUACCAAGGCAACGAUGCGUAGCCGACCUGAGAGGGUGAUCGGCCACACUGGAACUGAGACACGGUCCAGACUCCUACGGGAGGCAGCAGUAGGGAAUCUUCCGCAAUGGGCGAAAGCCUGACGGAGCAACGCCGCGUGAGUGAUGAAGGUCUUCGGAUCGUAAAACUCUGUUAUUAGGGAAGAACAAAUGUGUAAGUAACUAUGCACGUCUUGACGGUACCUAAUCAGAAAGCCACGGCUAACUACGUG